GGCGGACGGGUGAGUAAUGCAUAGGAAUCUGCCCAGUAGCGGGGGACAACUUAGGGAAACUUAAGCUAAUACCGCAUACGCCCUACGGGGGAAAGCAGGGGAUCUUCGGACCUUGCACUAUUGGAUGAGCCUAUGUCUGAUUCGCUUGUUGGUGGGGUAAUGGCCUACCAAGGCAACGAUCAGUAGCUGGUCUGAGAGGACGAUCAGCCACACUGGGACUGAGACACGGCCCAGACUCCUACGGGAGGCAGCAGUGGGGAAUAUUGGACAAUGGGGGCAACCCUGAUCCAGCAAUGCCGCGUGUGUGAAGAAGGCCUGCGGGUUGUAAAGCACUUUCAGUAGAGAAGAAACACUUGAUGGUUAAUACCCAUCAGGCUUGACUUAACCUACAGAAGAAGCACCGGCUAACUCCGUGCCAGCAGCCGCGGUAAUACGGAGGGUGCGAGCGUUAAUCGGAAUUACUGGGCGUAAAGGGCGCGUA
Molecule: ribosomal RNA, 481 nt
Filed under: uncultured Gammaproteobacteria bacterium
Lineage: Bacteria; Pseudomonadati; Pseudomonadota; Gammaproteobacteria
Description: bacterial SSU rRNA
Rfam family: Bacterial small subunit ribosomal RNA
Source: RNAcentral